Non-coding RNA from Pelobates cultripes (western spadefoot toad), 379 nucleotides. Lineage: Eukaryota; Metazoa; Chordata; Amphibia; Anura; Pelobatidae. The record is from the annotation of a GenBank genome assembly.
GUUGUAUUAAGACUACAAAAACAGGUAACCAGAUAUCCUAAACUCUUAUUUGGCACACGCUUUAUGAAUGUAAAGGAUCUGUGUCUAAAUGCAGAUACUUAGACACUGAUUAUAGUUUGUGUCAGCGAGUUUCAGGUGAACCCAAGUGUUUUGAUCUCCAAUUCCGACCCCAUACAACCUGGCUGGUUCUUUGAAAUUCCUACUCUCAGGGGGCAUUGAUAAAUAAAACUUCAAGUACCACCUCUUCCCUAGGCAUCCUACUAUUCGAUGCAUGUAAAGCAAUUUCUGGUAGUGGAAAACCAUGGAACAUAUGUGGUAAUCUUAAGUAUGAACAAACCUAUGGGUUUAAUGAUAAAUACCUAUGCCCUAGUAUAAGAAC